This is a long non-coding RNA of Ahaetulla prasina, 479 nucleotides long. RefSeq lists it as uncharacterized. Lineage: Eukaryota; Metazoa; Chordata; Lepidosauria; Squamata; Colubridae. The transcript has 3 exons. The record is from RefSeq and is a predicted model, not a curated record.
GUGAAUCACUGCAGUUGUUACAUUAGUAUUAUAGUUGUGAAGUGAAUCUGACUUCUCCAUUGACUUUGCUUGUCAGAAGGUCACAAAAGGUGAUUGAUUACAUGAAUACCUCAACCAUCAUAAAUACGAGUCUGUUGCCAAAAGUCUGAAUUUUGAUCACAUGACCAUGGGGAUGCUGCAAUAAUCGUUUUCUGCAUGGCAACAGUGGCAACCAGGGGUCCUUAAGACUUCAAUCAAGCCAAAAGAUUCUCAGCUGAGGGGCCUCUCAUCUGAUCCCUCGCAUCCUGGACAUAAACUGUUUCAACUCCUACCCUCAAAACGACGCUAUAGAGCACUGCACACCAGAACAACUAGACACAAGAACCGUUUUUUCCCGAAGGCCAUCACUCUGCUAAACAAAUAAUUCCAUCAACACUGUCAGACUAUUUACUGAAUCUACACUACUAUUAAUCGUUUCAUAGUUCCCAUCACCAAUCUCU